This 64-nucleotide transfer RNA is filed under the name Agonoscena pistaciae. RNAcentral describes it as "tRNA-His". Lineage: Eukaryota; Metazoa; Arthropoda; Insecta; Hemiptera; Aphalaridae. The record is from RNAcentral.
UGUACUGAAUUAGUUUAACAAAAAUAGUGGUUUGUGGGACCAAAGAUUUCCUUUAAAUUUAGUU